RNAcentral lists this ribosomal RNA (253 nucleotides) under uncultured bacterium. RNAcentral's name for it is "partial 16S ribosomal RNA". It matches the Rfam family "Bacterial small subunit ribosomal RNA", at positions 524 to 776 of the family's 1533-position model. The record is from RNAcentral.
UACGGGGGGGGCAAGCGUUGUUCGGAAUUACUGGGCGUAAAGGGCUCGUAGGCGGCCAACUAAGUCAGACGUGAAAUCCCUCGGCUUAACCGGGGAACUGCGUCUGAUACUGGGGGGCUUGAGUAUGGGAGAGGGAUGUAGAAUUCCAGGUGUAGCGGUGAAAUGCGUAGAUAUCUGGAGGAAUACCGGUGGCGAAGGCGGCAUCCUGGACCAUAACUGACGCUGAGGCGCGAAAGCUAGGGGAGCAAACGGG